GACUUCUCGAGACGGCUAACGCAAUUACAACAACAUAUUUAUAUUUUUAUAUAAAUAUUUAUUUGUUUUUAAAUCUCUCGAGAAUCAAGUCUUUUUGAGACUUAUUGAUUACUUACGACAUUAAGUGAAGCUAAACGAGUAUAACUUACUCAUUUCCGUUAAGUCAAUAACUUACCGUCGAAUCGUUCGAUUAACGAUUCGGUAGAGCUCGAUGACACGUAGUUUAGUUACUGCGCUUAUUUAGAAACUUAUUAGAUAUUCCGUGCUAGGGAUAUUGUAGAAUGCACGUUAGCAAGCCACGUCUUGGAAACGACAUCAUCGAAGUCGUUGCUUUUCAAAGCCAAGGCACGGUUGGAAUAGGAAAACCAUGA
RNAcentral lists this long non-coding RNA (371 nucleotides) under Helianthus annuus (common sunflower). RNAcentral's name for it is "sRNA HanXRQr2_Chr05g0203671". Lineage: Eukaryota; Viridiplantae; Streptophyta; Magnoliopsida; Asterales; Asteraceae. The record is from RNAcentral.